Molecule: non-coding RNA, 65 nt
Organism: Dipodomys ordii (Ord's kangaroo rat)
Lineage: Eukaryota; Metazoa; Chordata; Mammalia; Rodentia; Heteromyidae
Source: Rfam
GGUGGCUCAGUGGUAGAGCACUUGCCUUGUAUGCAUGAAGCCCUGGGUUCAAUGCCUCAGCACCA